RNAcentral lists this unclassified non-coding RNA (618 nucleotides) under Hevea brasiliensis (rubber tree). Lineage: Eukaryota; Viridiplantae; Streptophyta; Magnoliopsida; Malpighiales; Euphorbiaceae. The record is from RNAcentral.
GAAAAACAACAGAAACGUGUCAAAGUCAAAUAAUGGCUUAUGUAGGUCACUAACCUCCUUGUCCUUGGAAGCAGCACGCAACCUUAUCUUUGACCAAGCAAUAAUGAAGAGCUAGUCGCCAAUAUGGCAUCCACUCCAAUGAGGCAAUGUGAUUGAUUUAGCGGAAAUGUUCACUGUUUCGCUGUAGAUUUUCCUAGUAAGGGCCAAAAGAGAGCUUCGCUUAACUACUGUAGGCAGUUCCCGACACAAGCUAAAUGCUAACCUGACUUUAAGGAUAAACAACACAUUGUCAUUAUGAAAUGUUUUAAGAGUGCUAGUAGUAAUCAUGAAUCUAAUCCUCAUUAUCACCGAAAUCGUGGUAGCAAGUGUCUGUCAUUCUACCAAUGGACACCAGGUUAAGAAACCUCAAAAGUGUGUUUUUAAAAAUCUUAAACGCUACUGGGCAUUAAGGCGUGCCAGAGAGAUUGCCUCCUUUAAGCGAGACAUAAUAAAACAGGGAGCAUUAUAACGGGCAACAGCAAUAAACGGCAUCAGAAAGACAGGAAAUUAUAGCUAGUAGAUAAUGAACAAGAGUGAUUUGAGAUUGAGGCCACAUGGUGGUUGCAAGUAGUUGAUGAG